This is a long non-coding RNA of Capsicum annuum, 1650 nucleotides long. RefSeq lists it as uncharacterized. Lineage: Eukaryota; Viridiplantae; Streptophyta; Magnoliopsida; Solanales; Solanaceae. The transcript is spliced from 6 exons. The record is from RefSeq and is a predicted model, not a curated record.
ACGCGCGAUCAAAUUGACUAUUACACUUAAAAACAGCUUUUCUUUAAUUUUCUCAACAGACCAUAUUCUUAUUCUAUAUGCUGGAUCAUUCUGCACAUGGCAGUUCCUAUCAAUUUCAGCCGAUAGAGUUCAGAAUUCUUCUACAAACCCCUCACUACGAAAAGGACACGGUUGAGACGCUUUAUUCAGAAUCCAAAAUUGACAAAGUUAUGAAAUUGGCACCAUAAGAGGUCAGGAAGCAGUUGCUAUAGAUUGUGAAAUGGUUGGGGGUCAUUCGUCUCAAGACCUUUGCGCAAGGGUAUGCCUAGUUGAUGAAGAUGAGAAGCUUCUUUUCACACUUAUGUUCUACCUCAGAUUCUUGUGACUGAGUAUAGGUAUGAAAUUACUGGUAUAAAAGAGGAAAAUCUACAAGAUGCCAUGCCUCUGGAGGAAGCCUGGGAGAAAAUUCAGCAGAUUCUUCACAAUGGAGGGUCAAUUAUUACAGUAAGAUUGGAUGGUGGAAAAGCAAAAGUACUUGUGGGCGAUUAUUUUGAAAAACACUUGGAUUUCUUAGAGAUGAAUUAUCAUGAUCAUCUUCUGUGAUGUGAUAUCCAAGUUGGUUUCAUGAUCCUUACCAUGAUUUUGUCUCCGUCAUGCGGUUGUAUAAGAGGAUCCACUCACAAGACCACCCAAUAGAAGGAAGGGACUAUUAGGGUUUCAAAUCACCUCUAAGCUUUAGCAGUAGCUCUGAUCCAUGGAAAUCCAUGGCACAUGAGAGCAUGACGCCUGAUGAGCUCUUAGAGAUAUCAAGAUCCAAAUAUGAGUGUUGGUGUUUUGAUUCACGGGAUGCAGUUCUGAGAGAUACUGCAAAAUACCGGCCCCUGAUGAAGACCAACUUUGCUAGCCACUCUCUCAAAUAUCUAACUAAGACUUAUCUAGGGCAAGUUCCUUGCUCACUCAUGUUUUUCUUUACUUAGUUCUAUCUUCUCUUGUAUUUUUGUUGGUCAAGUUUAUCCGUUAUGUUCCCAUUGUGCAGUGUACUUUGAUUGCCCCUUGCUACUGAAGAAAAUUUUCAGUCACUUGUUUCCUUGGAUCUUGAAUGAAGCGAUGGUGUGCUGAGUUGGUGGCUGGCUUGAUGAUAUGAUAUCCAAGUUGGUUUCCAUGAUCCUUACCAAGAUUCAGUGUCUGCCAUGAGGUUGUACAAGAGGAUGUGCUCACAGGACCACCCAAUGGUUGGUGUAUCAAAUACACCAGAUCUAAGCUUUAUUGGUAGCUGUGAUCCAUGGAGAACCGUGGCACAUGAGAGAAUGACAAUAGAGGAGCUCUUAGCAAUAUCCAGAGCUAACUACGAGUGUUGGUGUCUUGAUUCACCGAUGUGAACACCUAUUUUAUUUAUUUUUUAUUCUUUUACUGAACCUAAGUUUUUACACCAUUUUAGUGUUUUAAUAUUUCUUUUUGAUCUAAAUUUGAUAUUUGGUUCAGUUUAUUUUGAAAAUUGAAAAAAACACUAGAAAAAAUAGCUCCGUUUUAGGACUCAAGUUUUGUUUUAGGUUUUCAUAAAUAAGCUGGAGGAUGAAACUAGUUUGAAAGCAUUUUUUAGCUUGGUGUUUGGAAAUUUUUGGAAGUUUUUGUUAAGAUAACUCAAAAUAAGUCAAAAGCUUUGAGUUAGUA